GGUACCCUUCGACCCCCCCUCUACUGACGGAAACGCUGAGCACCGAAAACCUCUGACUUGGGUCAACUUUAUUGAGGCGUCGCAACCCUUAGGAAGCCCAGUGCAAAAGGGGGCGCCUCGGAACUUUAUUCAACUCCAGUGAGAAGACCAGUUUGUCGCGCACUGUAGUGCCAAUGUAAGCUGCAGCUUGACCUGCAGUCGGAUGUUCCCCGCUUAAGCCCAGUGUGAAGAAGACCAGAACAUUGGGCGUGAUAUUUGACGGGCAUGCCUACAGAGUAGCCGCCGCCGACGCUACAGAAAGAUGUCCGUAGUUGCUCUGUGUUAACUUACACAUUUUCGGGAUUUGAGUUAAUAUGCCUUUUUAAGGCCAAUUCUCUGGCGGAGAUAUAUAGAAAUGUAUUUUUUUUUGAGCAUCGGGAAUUAUGAGUGUUGGUAGAAAAGAGUGGAAACCAGCACCUACGUCAUCCAUGAGCUCAUCGAUUACGAAAGGAGUAAGGGUUUUAAAAUAUCAAAACCAAACGAAAACUGUGAGUUUGUAAACUU
Molecule: long non-coding RNA, 543 nt
Organism: Drosophila subobscura
Lineage: Eukaryota; Metazoa; Arthropoda; Insecta; Diptera; Drosophilidae
Exons: 2
Source: RefSeq, a predicted model, not a curated record